This 504-nucleotide ribosomal RNA is filed under the name uncultured bacterium. RNAcentral describes it as "partial 16S ribosomal RNA". It matches the Rfam family "Bacterial small subunit ribosomal RNA", at positions 28 to 506 of the family's 1533-position model. The record is from RNAcentral.
GACGAACGCUGGCGGCGUGCCUAAUACAUGCAAGUCGAACGCACAGUUUAUACCGUAGCUUGCUACACCAUAAACUGUGAGUUGCGAACGGGGGAGUAACGCGUAGGUAACCUGCCUGGUAGCGGGGGAUAACUAUUGUAAACGAUAGCUAAUACCGCAUAAUAUUGAUUAUUGCAUGAUAAUUGAUUGAAAGAUGCUAUUGCAUCACUACCAGAUGGACCUGCGUUGUAUUAGCUAGUAGGUGAGGUAACGGCUCACCCAGGCGACGAUACAUAGCCGACCUGAGAGGGUGAUCGGCCACACUGGGACUGAGACACGGCCCAGACUCCUACGGGAGGCAGCAGUAGGGAAUCUUCGGCAAUGGACGAAAGUCUGACCGAGCAACGCCGCGUGGGUGAAGAAGGUUUUCGGAUCGUAAAGCUCUGUUGUAAGAGAAGAACGGGUGUGAGAGUGGAAAGUUCACACUUUGACGGUAUCUUACCAGAAAGGGACGGCUAACUACGG